CGGCAUGCCUAAUACAUGCAAGUCGAGCGGACUUGAAGAGAAGCUUGCUUCUCUGAUGGUUAGCGGCGGACGGGUGAGUAACACGUAGGCAACCUGCCCUCAAGUUUGGGACAACUACCGGAAACGGUAGCUAAUACCGAAUAAUUGUUUUCUUCGCCUGAAGGAAACUGGAAAGACGGAGCAAUCUGUCACUUGGGGAUGGGCCUGCGGCGCAUUAGCUAGUUGGUGGGGUAACGGCUCACCAAGGCGACGAUGCGUAGCCGACCUGAGAGGGUGAUCGGCCACACUAGGACUGAGACACGGCCCAGACUCCUACGGGAGGCAGCAGUAGGGGAUCUUCCGCAAUGGGCGAAAGCCUGACGGAGCAAUGCCGCGUGAGUGAUGAAGGUUUUCGGAUCGUAAAGCUCUGUUGCCAGGGAAGAACGCUUGGGAGAGUAACUGCUCUCAAGGUGACGGUACCUGAGAAGAAAGCCCCGGCUAACUACGUGCCAGCAGCCGCGGUAAUACGUAGGGGGCAAGCGUUGUCCGGAAUUAUUGGGCGUAAAGCGCGCGCAGGCGGUCAUUUAAGUCUGGUGUUUAAUCCCGGGGCUCAACCCCGGAUCGCACUGGAAACUGGGUGACUUGAGUGCAGAAGAGGAGAGUGGAAUUUCCACGUGUAGCGGUGAAAUGCGUAGAUAUGUGGAGGAACACCAGUGGCGAAGGCGACUCUCUGGGCUGUAACUGACGCUGAGGCGCGAAAGCGUGGGGAGCAAACAGGAUUAGAUACCCUGGUAGUCCACGCCGUAAACGAUGAGUGCUAGGUGUUAGGGGUUUCGAUACCCUUGGUGCCGAAGUUAACACAUUAAGCACUCCGCCUGGGGAGUACGGUCGCAAGACUGAAACUCAAAGGAAUUGACGGGGACCCGCACAAGCAGUGGAGUAUGUGGUUUAAUUCGAAGCAACGCGAAGAACCUUACCAGGUCUUGACAUCCCUCUGACCGGUGCAGAGAUGUACCUUUUCUUCGGAACAUUCAAGACAGGUGGUGCAUGGUUGUCGUCAGCUCGUGUCGUGAGAUGUUGGGUUAAGUCCCGCAACGAGCGCAACCCUUAUAUUUAGUUGCCAGCAUUUCGGAUGGGCACUCUAGAUAGACUGCCGGUGACAAACCGGAGGAAGGUGGGGAUGACGUCAAAUCAUCAUGCCCCUUAUGACCUGGGCUACACACGUACUACAAUGGCCGGUACAACGGGCUGCGAAAUCGCGAGAUGGAGCCAAUCCCAACAAAGCCGGUCUCAGUUCGGAUUGCAGGCUGCAACUCGCCUGCAUGAAGUCGGAAUUGCUAGUAAUCG
Molecule: ribosomal RNA, 1326 nt
Filed under: Paenibacillus sp. On11
Lineage: Bacteria; Bacillati; Bacillota; Bacilli; Caryophanales; Paenibacillaceae
Description: bacterial SSU rRNA
Rfam family: Bacterial small subunit ribosomal RNA
Source: RNAcentral